UACGUAGGUGGCGAGCGUUGUCCGGAAUUACUGGGUGUAAAGGGCGUGUAGGCGGGGAUACAAGUCAGAUGUGAAAUUCCAGAGCUCAACUCUGGCGCUGCAUCUGAAACUGUAUUUCUUGAGUGCUGGAGAGGAAAGCGGAAUUCCUAGUGUAGCGGUGAAAUGCGUAGAUAUUAGGAGGAACACCAGUGGCGAAGGCGGCUUUCUGGACAGUAACUGACGCUGAGGCGCGAAAGCGUGGGGAGCAAACAGG
This 253-nucleotide ribosomal RNA is filed under the name uncultured bacterium. RNAcentral describes it as "partial 16S ribosomal RNA". It matches the Rfam family "Bacterial small subunit ribosomal RNA", at positions 524 to 776 of the family's 1533-position model. The record is from RNAcentral.